UCUCUCCUUUCCAUGCUUGCCAUGUGACUCAGCAACUGCUCGAUCCUUGGACUUCCAUUCUAGAGCUCCUACUGAACAUUGUUGGGAGUUGGACUGCAGGCUUGACCGGAGGCCCAUCACAGCAGAAGAGAACAAAGCACUUUAACCUUUAAAGACACAGAAUUCAACAGCUUGCAGUUGUAGUUCCUGCCCAAUGGUUUCUUUUGUUCAGUGGACCGUUAGUAAAAUUCGUGGGAAAAGUUGGACUGAGAAUGGGCAGAGAAGGAGCACCCUCCAGGACCUCGUGCUCAAGAGAUUCAGAGGGAGUACCCUCAAGGACCUUGUGCUCAAGAGACUCAGAGGGAGCACCCCCAAGAACUUCGUGCUCAAGAGAUUCAGAGGGAGCACCUUCCAGGACUUCAUGCUCAAGAAACUCAGAGGGAGCACCCUCCAGGACCUCAUGCUCAGGAGACUCAGAGGGAGCACCCUCCAGGACCUCGUGCUCAAGAGAUUCAGAGGGAGCACCCUCAAGGACCUUGUGCUCAAGAUACUCAGAGGGAGCACCCUCAAGAACUUCGUGCUCAAGAGACUCAGAGGGAGCACCUUCCAGGACUUCGUGCUCAGGAGACUCAGAGGGAGCACCCUCCACAGACUCAUGCUCAGGAAACUCAGAGGGUGCUCCCUCCAUGACCUCCUGCUGAGGAGACUCAGAGGGAGCACCCUCCAAGACUUCAUGAUCAGGAGACUCAGAGGGAGCACCCUCCAAGACCUCAUGCUUAAGAGGAAUAUGGUGAUUGAACCAUAUAUCAAGGUAGAACCGUGAGUCUGGUACUGUAGGAGCCAGCCGACACCUUCCCAUCCACUCAGGAAGCCAGCCUGCUCUGUCACGUCACCCCAAUGUCUCUACCAAACAUUUCAGGAAGACAAAGAAAAAUCUGUCUCUUCUGGCCAAGAUUUGAUUGGCAAGCCCAGUUUCUCUAUUUUUUUGUCAGUGCUUCCCAACUUAGGAUCAAUCAGAAAAGGCCAAAUAUGUUCCACAAACCAAUCAUGUAGGAGCUCUGCUUAAACCUACCGCCUUCAUCUUCCCGGUGACAAAGGCUUCCAAUCCUGCCCUUCCCUAUUUCCACUGUGCAGUGUUCCAGUUCCUAACCUAUUUUCAACACUGUGCCAUAGCAAAUGUUGAUAAUGGAGAUAACACUACCUCCCAAGGCAUAGUGAGCUAGGAACAAACAGCCAGAACCUACUCUAUCUUGGGUGAUCGUCAUUUCCUUAGUAACUGCAAGAAAAUUGUAGAAUUGAGAAUGAAACUG
This 1289-nucleotide long non-coding RNA is filed under the name Mus musculus (house mouse). RNAcentral describes it as "predicted gene, 49064". Lineage: Eukaryota; Metazoa; Chordata; Mammalia; Rodentia; Muridae. The record is from RNAcentral.